RNAcentral lists this ribosomal RNA (465 nucleotides) under Vreelandella stevensii. RNAcentral's name for it is "partial 16S ribosomal RNA". It matches the Rfam family "Bacterial small subunit ribosomal RNA", at positions 338 to 795 of the family's 1533-position model. The record is from RNAcentral. Lineage: Bacteria; Pseudomonadati; Pseudomonadota; Gammaproteobacteria; Oceanospirillales; Halomonadaceae.
CCUACGGGUGGCUGCAGUGGGGAAUAUUGGACAAUGGGGGGAACCCUGAUCCAGCCAUGCCGCGUGUGUGAAGAAGGCCCUCGGGUUGUAAAGCACUUUCAGUGAGGAAGAACGCCUGGUGGUUAAUACCCAUCAGGAAAGACAUCACUCACAGAAGAAGCACCGGCUAACUCCGUGCCAGCAGCCGCGGUAAUACGGAGGGUGCGAGCGUUAAUCGGAAUUACUGGGCGUAAAGCGCGCGUAGGUGGCUUGAUAAGCCGGUUGUGAAAGCCCCGGGCUCAACCUGGGAACGGCAUCCGGAACUGUCAAGCUAGAGUGCAGGAGAGGAAGGUAGACUUCCCGGUGUAGCGGUGAAAUGCGUAGAGAUCGGGAGGAAUACCAGUGGCGAAGGCGGCCUUCUGGACUGACACUGACACUGAGGUGCGAAAGCGUGGGUAGCAAACAGGAUUAGAUACCCUGGUAGUC